This 365-nucleotide ribosomal RNA is filed under the name uncultured eukaryote. RNAcentral's name for it is "partial 18S ribosomal RNA". It matches the Rfam family "Eukaryotic small subunit ribosomal RNA", at positions 592 to 975 of the family's 1831-position model. The record is from RNAcentral.
CAAUAGCGUAUAUUAAAGUUGUUGCAGUUAAACAGCUCGUAGUUGAAUUUCUGGUGGGCGCGCCGGUCUUCCAAGUGUUGUACUGGGCGCAGUCCGCCAUCCUUGUGGAGAGGGCUCGCAUUGAGUUGCGUGUCGGAUCUGCAUCAUUUACUGUGAAAAAAUUAGAGUGUUUAAAGCAGGCUGUCGCUUGAAUACAUUAGCAUGGAAUAAUAAGAUAGGACUUCGGUCUAUUUUGUUGGUUGCGAACCGAGGUAAUGAUUAAUAGGGAUAGUUGGGGGUAUUCAUAUUUAAUUGUCAGAGGUGAAAUUCUUGGAUUUAUGAAAGAUGAACAACUGCGAAAGCAUUUACCAAGGAUGUUUNCAUUA